This 492-nucleotide ribosomal RNA is filed under the name uncultured bacterium. Its description in RNAcentral is "partial 16S ribosomal RNA". It matches the Rfam family "Bacterial small subunit ribosomal RNA", at positions 29 to 507 of the family's 1533-position model. The record is from RNAcentral.
AGUGAACGCUGGCGGUAGACCUAACACAUGCAAGUCGAACGGCAGCACAGUAAGAGCUUGCUCUUACGGGUGGCGAGUGGCGGACGGGUGAGGAAUACAUCGGAAUCUACUCUUUCGUGGGGGAUAACGUAGGGAAACUUACGCUAAUACCGCAUACGACCUACGGGUGAAAGCAGGGGAUCUUCGGACCUUGCGCGAUUGAAUGAGCCGAUGUCGGAUUAGCUAGUUGGCGGGGUAAAGGCCCACCAAGGCGACGAUCCGUAGCCGGUCUGAGAGGAUGAUCAGCCACACUGGAACUGAGCCACGGUCCAGACUCCUACGGGAGGCAGCAGUGGGGAAUAUUGGACAAUGGGCGCAAGCCUGAUCCAGCCAUACCGCGUGGGUGAAGAAGGCCUUCGGGUUGUAAAGCCCUUUUGUUGGGAAAGAAAAGCAGCAGGUUAAUACCCCGCUGUUCUGACGGUACCCAAAGAAUAAGCACCGGCUAACUUCGUG